RNAcentral lists this ribosomal RNA (301 nucleotides) under uncultured bacterium. Its description in RNAcentral is "partial 16S ribosomal RNA". It matches the Rfam family "Bacterial small subunit ribosomal RNA", at positions 509 to 807 of the family's 1533-position model. The record is from RNAcentral.
CAGUAGCCGCGGGAAUACGUAGGGUGCAAGCGUUGUCCGGAAUUAUUGGGCGUAAAGAGCUCGUAGGCGGUUUGUCGCGUCUGCUGUGAAAACUGGAGGCUCAACCUCCAGCCUGCAGUGGGUACGGGCAGACUAGAGUGCGGUAGGGGAGAUUGGAAUUCCUGGUGUAGCGGUGGAAUGCGCAGGUAUCAGGAGGAACACCGAUGGCGAAGGCAGAUCUCUGGGCCGUAACUGACGCUGAGGAGCGAAAGCGUGGGGAGCGAACAGGAUUAGAUACCCGCGUAGUCCCUGUCUCUUAUAC